CAGCUCCAAUAGCGUAUAUUUAAGUUGCUGCAGUUAAAAAGCUCGUAGUUGGAUUUCGGAUGGGUUCCGUCGGUCCGCCNCUUNGGKKKKCACUGGCGGCGCCCAUCUUGCUGCCGGGGACGGGCUCCUGGGCUUAACUGUCCGGGACUCGGAGUCGCGAGGUUACUUUGAGUAAAUUAGAGUGUUCAAAGCAGGCCUACGCUCUGAAUACAUUAGCAUGGAAUAACACGAUAGGACUCUGGCCUAUCUUGUUGGUCUGUAGGACCGGAGUAAUGAUUAAGAGGGACAGUCGGGGGCAUUCGUAUUUCAUUGUCAGAGGUGAAAUUCUUGGAUUUAUGAAAGACGAACUACUGCGAAAGCAUUUGCCAAGGAUGUUUUCAUUAAUCAAGAACGAAAGU
This 398-nucleotide ribosomal RNA is filed under the name uncultured eukaryote. RNAcentral describes it as "SSU rRNA". It matches the Rfam family "Eukaryotic small subunit ribosomal RNA", at positions 588 to 1001 of the family's 1831-position model. The record is from RNAcentral.